GCCGCUGCCGGGUAUCGGCUUCCAGUCCGCGGAGGGCGAGGCGGCGUGGACAGCGGCCCCGGCACCCAGCGCCCCGCCGCCCGCAAGCCGCGCGCCCGUCCGCCGCGCCCCGAGCCUGCCGCUUCCUAUCUCAGCGCCCUGCCGCCGCCGCGGCCCAGCGAGCGGCCCUGAUGCAGGCCAUCAAGUGUGUGGUGGUGGGAGACGGAAACAAGAAUCUCAGUGUAACCCGAGCAAAAUCGCGCAUCUCAACGUUGCUUGUAUAGAGCUGUAGGUAAAACUUGCCUACUGAUCAGUUACACAACCAAUGCAUUUCCUGGAGAAUAUAUCCCUACUGUCUUUGACAAUUAUUCUGCCAAUGUUAUGGUAGAUGGAAAACCGGUGAAUCUGGGCUUAUGGGAUACAGCUGGACAAGAAGAUUAUGACAGAUUACGCCCCCUAUCCUAUCCGCAAACAGAUGUGUUCUUAAUUUGCUUUUCCCUUGUGAGUCCUGCAUCAUUUGAAAAUGUCCGUGCAAAGUGGUAUCCUGAGGUGCGGCACCACUGUCCCAACACUCCCAUCAUCCUAGUGGGAACUAAACUUGAUCUUAGGGAUGAUAAAGACACGAUCGAGAAACUGAAGGAGAAGAAGCUGACUCCCAUCACCUAUCCGCAGGGUCUAGCCAUGGCUAAGGAGAUUGGUGCUGUAAAAUACCUGGAGUGCUCAGCGCUCACACAGCGAGGCCUCAAGACAGUGUUUGACGAAGCGAUCCGAGCAGUCCUCUGCCCACCUCCCGUGAAGAAGAGGAAGAGAAAAUGCCUGCUGUUGUAAAUGUCUGAGCCCCUCGUUCUUGGUCCUGUCCCUUG
This 842-nucleotide small RNA is filed under the name Pongo abelii (Sumatran orangutan). RNAcentral's name for it is "processed transcript". The record is from RNAcentral. Lineage: Eukaryota; Metazoa; Chordata; Mammalia; Primates; Hominidae.